This 1020-nucleotide long non-coding RNA is filed under the name Oryctolagus cuniculus (rabbit). RNAcentral's name for it is "lncRNA (ENSOCUG00000030108.1)". The record is from RNAcentral. Lineage: Eukaryota; Metazoa; Chordata; Mammalia; Lagomorpha; Leporidae.
GAAACAAAUGAUGAUGGGAGCUCUGUGUAGGAAGUUCUGACCACUUGAACUUCUCAGAGGCUAUGGAAUUCAGAGAAAGGGAGAACUUGAAUGGGGAACUUGAUCUUCUCCAACCAAUAAUUAGAACCACACGUCAACCAGCCUCCCAGGUCUCCACCGUUCAAAUUCCAUGGGGAGAGAAGUCCAGCAGGCACGGGGCUUGUACUAUCAGGAGGCAUCUAUCACACAGUUCAAGCAAACUUGGCAGCUCCGUGGAAUCCACUGAACGCAAGGCCUUCAUGCUAGUGGGGGAGGAAGGCGGCAGGAGCAUUUGCCACUCAAAAGGCAAAGGUGCUCAAGACCUGUGGAAUGCAUGCACCUACCCUCCUGGACUCUCCACCUACGGGUCACACUGGCCAGCAGGUGGAGCUGCUGGUUCACCUCCUUGUCAGAGUCCGUGUAACCUGGGAAGGCCAGCUGGACAGGAGUUAGAAUCCUGUUUGAGUCAGGUCUUGAGCCAUUCUCUCCACAUGUUAUGGUCAAGCACCCAGUCUUCUAGUCGGCACUGUCCCUGGCUAAGCUUUGUCUAUAUAUGCUUUGACCUGUGCAGAGCAACCCUUACUUGCGCAUGCUCAGACUUGCUUAAUGGCGACUCCCUGGCAGAAAUCUUGUGUCAUGCAGAGAGUGAUAGGGGAGUGUGGGUGCAGUUUGUUGGGAAGAUUGCGUGAGUCUCAAACGAGGUUUUAUUUGAAGGCAUAAUUGAACCCUUUAUUUUUUUCCUUCUCCAUUCAAGGAGAAAUAUCUCAUUUGUAGAAACACCUCAUUUGGGUGUCAGAGCCUCGGGCUAGGUCACUCUCCGUAAGUACAAGGUAAAGGAGCACUUAGGCACGGAACACUUUUACAAGUCACUUAUUCAGUUGUUAACAGGCACUGAAGAAGGAUUAGGACCACAAGACAAACAGAAACCCAUUCUAGGACUACAAGACAAACAGAAACCAUUCCUGCCUUCACCUUCAAUGUAGAGGAUCAUGAGAAAGCAAG